GUCUCCAGCCAUACCACCUAGAGCUCACCCAGUCUCACUUGAUCUGGGAAGUUAAGCAGGGUCAGGCAUGGUUAGUUCUUGAUUGGGAGGACUGCCAGGGACUAUCAGGUGCUAUAGGCU
Molecule: ribosomal RNA, 120 nt
Filed under: Mus caroli (Ryukyu mouse)
Lineage: Eukaryota; Metazoa; Chordata; Mammalia; Rodentia; Muridae
Source: RNAcentral